This 440-nucleotide ribosomal RNA is filed under the name uncultured bacterium. Its description in RNAcentral is "partial 16S ribosomal RNA". It matches the Rfam family "Bacterial small subunit ribosomal RNA", at positions 338 to 795 of the family's 1533-position model. The record is from RNAcentral.
CCUACGGGAGGCAGCAGUGGGGAAUAUUGCUCAAUGGGCGAAACCCUGAUGCAGCGACGCCGCGUGAGUGAAGAAGGAACUCGUUAUGUUAAGCUCUAUCAGCCGGGAAGAAAAGGACGGUACCUGAGUAAGAAGCAGCGGCUCAGUACGUGCCAGCAGCCGGGGUAAGACGGAGGGGGCAAGGGUUAUCCGGAUUUAGUGGGUGUAAAGGGAGCUUAGUCGGCAGAGAAAGUCUGGAGUGAAAGGCGGUGGCGUAACCCACGGACUGCUGUGGAAACUGUACGGCUGGAGUGCAGGAGAGGUAAGCGGAAUUCGUGGUGUAGCGGUGAAAUGCUUAGAUAUUAGGAGGAACACCAGUGGCGAAGGCGGCUUACUGGACUGUAACUGACGUUGAGGCUCGAAAGCGUGGGGAGCAAACAGGAUUAGAUACCCUUGUAGUC